Molecule: ribosomal RNA, 370 nt
Filed under: uncultured cyanobacterium
Lineage: Bacteria; Bacillati; Cyanobacteriota
Description: bacterial SSU rRNA
Rfam family: Bacterial small subunit ribosomal RNA
Source: RNAcentral
UGACCGAGCAACGCCGCGUGGGUGAUGACGGUCUGUGGAUUGUAAAACCCUUUUGUGAGGGACGAAUUUUGACGGUACCUCACGAAUAAGCAUCGGCUAACUCCGUGCCAGCAGCCGCGGUAAUACGGGGGAUGCAAGCGUUAUUCGGAAUUAUUGGGCGUAAAGCGUACGUAGGUGGUUUGCCAAGUCUGGGGUUAAAGCCCGCAGCUUAACUGCGGAACAGCCCUGGAAACUGGCAGACUCGAGUGCGGCAGGGGCAAGGGGAAUUCCACAUGUAGCGGUGAAAUGCAUAGAUAUGUGGAGGAACACCUGUGGCGAAAGCGCCUUGCUGGGCCGCAACUGACGCUGAGGUACGAAAGCCAGGGGAGCA